GUGAGGAAUUUUCCGCAAUGGGCGAAAGCCUGACGGGGCAAUGCCGCGUGAAGGAUGAAGGCCUAUGGGUUGUAAACUUCUUUUCUCAGAAAAGAAUUAUGACGGUAUCUGAGGAAUAAGCAUCGGCUAACUCUGUGCCAGCAGCCGCGGUAAGACAGAGGAUGCAAGCGUUAUCCGGAAUGAUUGGGCGUAAAGCGUCUGUAGGUUGUUUAAAAAGUAUUCUGUCAAAGAUUAGGGCUUAACCCUAGAUAGGCAGAAUAAACUUUUAAGCUAGAGUUUGGUAGAGGCAGAGGGAAUUCCCGGUGGAGCGGUGAAAUGCGUAGAUAUCGGGAGGAACACCAAAGGCGAAGGCACUCUGCUGGGCCAAUACUAACACUGAGAGACGAAAGCGAGGGGAGCAAAUGGGAUUAGAUACCCCAGUAGUCC
RNAcentral lists this ribosomal RNA (426 nucleotides) under uncultured bacterium. RNAcentral's name for it is "bacterial SSU rRNA". It matches the Rfam family "Bacterial small subunit ribosomal RNA", at positions 354 to 796 of the family's 1533-position model. The record is from RNAcentral.